Long non-coding RNA from Saccostrea cuccullata (small rock oyster), 221 nucleotides. RefSeq lists it as uncharacterized. NCBI's taxonomy places the organism in Eukaryota, Metazoa, Mollusca, Bivalvia, Ostreida, Ostreidae. The record is from RefSeq and is a predicted model, not a curated record. The transcript is spliced from 3 exons.
GCAAAGCAGGUCUUGUAUAUGUUUUAUGAACAUUUUAUUUCUACAUUUUGUGUUUUCGAGUUCUCAGUUAUGUGAUGGGAAUAGAUGCUGUAGUGGAUAUAUCUGGAACCCUUCACUGAAUGUAUGCACACCAACGCAAAUGGAUAUUUCUGAAAGCAGCCGAAACUCAACGAUUGAACUCAACCCAAUCAGUGAAAUGUCACGGCAAAUACCUUCUAAAG